This 422-nucleotide ribosomal RNA is filed under the name uncultured bacterium. Its description in RNAcentral is "bacterial SSU rRNA". It matches the Rfam family "Bacterial small subunit ribosomal RNA", at positions 355 to 774 of the family's 1533-position model. The record is from RNAcentral.
UAGGGAAUAUUGGACAAUGGGGGGAACCCUGAUCCAGCCAUGCCGCGUGGAGGAAGACUGCCCUCUGGGUUGUAAACUCCUUUUAUAUGGGAAGAAAUGUACUUUUUCUAAAGUGCUUGACGGUACCAUAGGAAUAAGCACCGGCUAACUCCGUGCCAGCAGCCGCGGUAAUACGGAGGGUGCAAGCGUUAUCCGGAUUUACUGGGUUUAAAGGGUGCGUAGGCGGAUGAAUAAGUCAGUGGUGAAAUCUCCGAGCUUAACUCGGAAACUGCCGUUGAUACUAUUUGUCUUGAAUAUUGUGGAGGUAAGCGGAAUAUGUCAUGUAGCGGUGAAAUGCUUAGAUAUGACAUAGAACACCAAUUGCGAAGGCAGCUUGCUACACAAUCAUUGACGCUGAGGCACGAAAGCGUGGGGAUCAAACA